RNAcentral lists this long non-coding RNA (494 nucleotides) under Setaria italica (foxtail millet). RNAcentral's name for it is "long non-coding RNA (SITA_LNC007412)". Lineage: Eukaryota; Viridiplantae; Streptophyta; Magnoliopsida; Poales; Poaceae. The record is from RNAcentral.
GCCCGCCUCGCUCGGCUCCGCCUCCGCGCACCCCGCUCCAAUGGCCGCUACGGCUGUGACCCUGCCCUCCUCGGGCGUCCCCUUCCCCGUCUCCAACACCGCCGCACGGCGCUGUUUGCUUCUCCCCUCCGCUCCUUCCCGCCGAGCUCUCCGCGUCGUCGCCUCCGCGGCCACGGAGGCGCCGCCGAAGCCGACCCCGCCGCCGACCUCGCCCUCCGGCAUCGUGCUCGUCGACCCCUCCGAGGCCCAGAGGGUGCACCGGCUCAAGGCCGUCUACGACCAGAAGGUUGUCCCGCUCAUCACCGAGGAGUUCGGCUACACAAAUGUCCACCAGGUGCUCGACGCUACUCCUCACCGUAGAAACCAGAAACGGCAGCCAUUUAGCGCUUAACUAGGCUGGUUCAUCGCUUCGGUUUCCUUGAUUGAAUUUUGAGGUGUGUAUGGGGGGUGGGUGGUUCGACUAGGUGCCCAAACUUGAGAAGAUUGUGGUGAAC